This 492-nucleotide ribosomal RNA is filed under the name uncultured bacterium. Its description in RNAcentral is "partial 16S ribosomal RNA". It matches the Rfam family "Bacterial small subunit ribosomal RNA", at positions 29 to 507 of the family's 1533-position model. The record is from RNAcentral.
AGUGAACGCUGGCGGCAGGCCUAACACAUGCAAGUCGAACGGCCGCACAAUAAGCUCUUGCUCUUACCGGUGGCGAGUGGCGGACGGGUGAGGAAUACAUAACAAUCUAAUUAUUCGUGGGGGAUAACGUAGGGCAACUUCCGCUAAUACCUCAUACGACCUACGGGUGAAAGCAAGAGAUAUACGCACCUUUCGUGAUUGAAUGAGCUGAGGUCGGACUAGCUUGUUGGCGGGGUAAAGGCCUACCAAGGCGACGAUACGUAGCUGGUCUGAGAGGAUGAUCAGCCACACUGGAACUGAGACACGGUCCAGACUCCUACGGGAGGCAGCAGUGGGGAAUAUUAGGCAAUGGGCGCAAGCCUGAUCCAGCCAUACCGCGUGGGUGAAGAAGGCCUUCGGAUUGUAAAGCCCUUUUAUUAGGAAAGAAAAGCUGUAUAUUAAUACCCGGCUGUUCUGACGGUACCCAAAGAAAAAGCACCGGCUAACUACGUG